This 505-nucleotide long non-coding RNA is filed under the name Ixodes scapularis (black-legged tick). Its description in RNAcentral is "uncharacterized LOC115322289". Lineage: Eukaryota; Metazoa; Arthropoda; Arachnida; Ixodida; Ixodidae. The record is from RNAcentral.
GUUAAAGCGGGACGGACGGACGGACGCGUGCGUGCGUGGACGGCGUGACCGCAUGGUGCCUGACAUCUGUCAACGCGUUUUGUGUUGAGCACAUGUGAGUACAGCGAGCAGAAUGUGAGCACAACGUGGAUAUUGUCUGCGCCUAACAGGUUUCUUCAGAAGAUGCCCUCCGGUUGCUACUACGGUAGCUACUGCUGUGUCGCAUGGUGCGAAAACAAUGGUAAAACGCACAAGAAACCCGGCACAAAAUUUUUCCGAAUCCCACGUGACGCAAGGUCAAAGGCUUGGCUCGACUAUGCCAAGAGGUACGAUCUUCUUGGAAAGUCUGCUUCGCAACUCUAUGCCACCUAUCGUGUCUGCAGUGAUCACUUCACUGCAAAAGAUUUUAUGGACCCAGGGCAAACAACCCUAGUGCGAUCAGCUGUGCCUACUGUUCGUCCUCCCAUAAACUGGGCAUCUGCAAUAGGUCCCACUCAGGCAACCAGCUCGUCUGGCCCUUCACUCC